AUUGAACGCUAGCGGGAUGCUUUACACAUGCAAGUCGAACGGCAGCACGAAAAGAGCUUGCUCUUUUUGGUGGCGAGUGGCGAACGGGUGAGUAAUGUAUCGGAACGUACCCAGUAGCGGGGGAUAACUACGCGAAAGCGUGGCUAAUACCGCAUACGCCCUACGGGGGAAAGGGGGGGAUCGCAAGACCUCUCACUAUUGGAGCGGCCGAUAUCGGAUUAGCUAGUUGGUGGGGUAAAGGCUCACCAAGGCAACGAUCCGUAGCUGGUUUGAGAGGACGACCAGCCACACUGGGACUGAGACACGGCCAAGACUCCUACGGGAGGCAGCAGUGGGGAAUUUUGGACAAUGGGGGAAACCCUGAUCCAGCCAUCCCGCGUGUGCGAUGAAGGCCUUCGGGUUGUAAAGCACUUUUGGCAGGGAAGAAACGGCGCUGACUAAUACUUGGCGCAACUGACGGUACCUGCAGAAUAAGCACCGGCUAACUACGUG
Molecule: ribosomal RNA, 492 nt
Filed under: uncultured bacterium
Lineage: Bacteria
Description: partial 16S ribosomal RNA
Rfam family: Bacterial small subunit ribosomal RNA
Source: RNAcentral